CACUCCUGCGGGAGGCAGCAGUGGGGAAUAUUGGACAAUGGGCGCAAGCCUGAUCCAGCCAUGCCGCGUGAGUGAUGAAGGCCCUAGGGUUGUAAAGCUCUUUCACCGGAGAAGAUAAUGACGGUAUCCGGAGAAGAAGCCCCGGCUAACUUCGUGCCAGCAGCCGCGGUAAUACGAAGGGGGCUAGCGUUGUUCGGAAUUACUGGGCGUAAAGCGCACGUAGGCGGAUCGAUCAGUCAGGGGUGAAAUCCCAGGGCUCAACCCUGGAACUGCCUUUGAUACUGUCGAUCUGGAGUAUGGAAGAGGUGAGUGGAAUUCCGAGUGUAGAGGUGAAAUUCGUAGAUAUUCGGAGGAACACCAGUGGCGAAGGCGGCUCACUGGUCCAUUACUGACGCUGAGGUGCGAAAGCGUGGGGAGCAAACAGGAUUAGAAACCCCUGUAGUCCCAUG
This 449-nucleotide ribosomal RNA is filed under the name uncultured organism. RNAcentral's name for it is "partial 16S ribosomal RNA". It matches the Rfam family "Bacterial small subunit ribosomal RNA", at positions 334 to 799 of the family's 1533-position model. The record is from RNAcentral.